This 667-nucleotide ribosomal RNA is filed under the name uncultured bacterium. RNAcentral's name for it is "bacterial SSU rRNA". It matches the Rfam family "Bacterial small subunit ribosomal RNA", at positions 179 to 861 of the family's 1533-position model. The record is from RNAcentral.
AACGAGAUCGCAUGAUUUUGUUGGAAAAGGAGCAAUCCGCUUAAGGAUGGGCCCGCGGCCUAUUAGCUAGUUGGUAGGGUAACGGCCUACCAAGGCGACGAUAGGUAGCCGACCUGAGAGGGUGAACGGCCACACUGGAACUGAGAAACGGUCCAGACUCCUACGGGAGGCAGCAGUAGGGAAUAUUCCGCAAUGGGCGAAAGCCUGACGGAGCAACGCCGCGUGAGUGAAGAAGGUUUUCGGAUCGUAAAGCUCUGUCAACAGGGACGAAACAAGACGGUACCUGAGAAGGAAGCCACGGCAAACUACGUGCCAGCAGCCGCGGUAAUACGUAGGUGGCAAGCGUUGUCCGGAAUAACUGGGCGUAAAGCGCAUGUAGACGGCAUGAUAAGCCAAAUGUGAAAUGUAGGGGCUCAACCCCUGCACUGCGAUUGGAACUGUCAAGCUUGAGUGCAGGAGAGGCAAAUGGAAUUCCCAGUGUAGCAGUGAAAUGCGUAGAGAUUGGGAGGAACACCAGUGGCGAAGGCGAUUUGCUGGACUGCAACUGACGUUGAGAUGCGAAAGCUAGGGGAGCAAACGGGAUUAGAUACCCCGGUAGUCCUAGCCGUAAACGAUGGAUACUAGGUGUAGAGGGUAUCGACCCCUUCUGUGCCGCAGCGAACGCAAU